AACGUAGGAGGCGAGCGUUAUCCGGAGUUACUGGGCGUAAAGCGCAUGUAGGCGGUUGGAUAAGUUGCGUGUGAAAGCUCCUGGCUAAACUAGGAGAGGACAGGCAAGACUGUUCGGCUAGAGGGUGGUAGAGGGGCACAGAAUUCGGGGUGUAGCGGUGAAAUGUGUAGAGAUCCCGAGGAAUACCAGUGGUGAAGACGGUGCCCUGGGCCAUACCUGACGCUGAGAUGCGAAAGCGUGGGGAGCGAACAGG
RNAcentral lists this ribosomal RNA (253 nucleotides) under uncultured bacterium. Its description in RNAcentral is "partial 16S ribosomal RNA". It matches the Rfam family "Bacterial small subunit ribosomal RNA", at positions 524 to 776 of the family's 1533-position model. The record is from RNAcentral.